Molecule: long non-coding RNA, 1520 nt
Filed under: Phaseolus vulgaris (common bean)
Lineage: Eukaryota; Viridiplantae; Streptophyta; Magnoliopsida; Fabales; Fabaceae
Description: long non-coding RNA (PVUL_LNC004956)
Source: RNAcentral
AAAUUUCUUCAUAGAUAAGAACUCCUCAGUACUUUUGUUUUUCAUUUUUAAGUUCUUAAAUUGCUAUUAAAUCAUUAGCAACUUUUUUAAAAAUUUAGGUUUCCAUUAUCAUAUUCUCCAAAUUUCAUUUUCGAAAAUUUUCGAAAAUUUCCCGAAAUUUUUUUCAUGUGGUUCAAAAAGAAAUCAUCUGAUGUGCAUAUUAAUCUAACCGGUUUGGAAAUAUCAUUGGAUCUGCGGUGCGAACAGUAAAUCCAGCGGUGCCAAUAGCAGAUUUGGUUUAGGUUUUCAGAUUUUCCUGAAUUUUUUCUCUGCGUUUUGCGUUCCUGUUCUUCUUCAUCUUCUGAAAUUUGAAUCGGAACAACUCCGGUUUGAGUGAAAUCGGUGCGCGAGGCGGAGAAUAGGUGAUCGGUGGUUCGCCUUCAAACGGUGCAAACAACGGUGGCAAAUGUCAGUUCGCUGCGAAAUCCAAUUAAAACGGUGUGGUGUUGAAAGAAUCACGAACGGAGGUUUUUGCAUUUCCGGCAACCUAAAUCGGUGAACGGAAGUGGCGUUUCUGGCGAACGAAAGUGGUUGAAAUGUUGCUUCAUUUUGUUCAUCUUAAAAUGGAAUCGGUGAAGAACUGUUUCCUUUGUUCGGAGCUGUUUGGUGCGAAACGGUAAAAUUUCUUUUUGGUAAAGUCCGUGAUUUGUUUGAAGCUGAAAUUGGCGAAUGAAAUUGAUUGGUAAAAAGGAAAAAUAGUUGCGCGGUUCUGUUUGAAUUCCGCUUCUGGAAAUUUUUGGCGAGUUGCAUUUUCGUUGAGUUUGUGUGUUGGUGAAUUGUGGUAGUGGAUUGUUCAAGCAUAUUACAUUUUGGUUGAAACUGCAGAUCAACUGUUUGAUAAAAGUAUUGAAGAAGCAGUUUUCAAUUUAAAUCUUUGGAGCUUGGUGGAAAUUACUGAUUGGUUUUAGUGCAGUUCAUUGGGAAUCAAUUUACACUGUUUUUACUGGUUUGGUGGCUGUUUUUGUUUUUACUGUAUACUGUGAUUUCAAUUUUGGUGUUUUUAGUACAAUUCAAACCACUGUAUCGAUUGUCAUUGCAUCACUGGAACGUGAAUAUCACAGUGGCGUUAGUGGUAUAAUUCUGUUGCUGCAGAUUUUGCUCAAUUGGCACUGGUUUUCAUUGGUGCAAAGUUCUGUUCCAGAUUUUAAUUGAAAACACUUGUGCUGUUUCAAUACAUUUGCUGGUUCUAUACAAUUGCUUUAGCUGAAGCGAGUGCUGAAUUGGUGCAGCUGUAACUUGAAUUUUCUUUUCCAAAUUUGCGUUAGUGAUAUCCUGCUUUGGUUUGAAUCUGAAAAUCACACUGCGGGACCCAGUUGGUGAAUUUUUUUAUUUAAACAAAUGCGCGGGGCCGACGAGAAAUUGAUUGAAAUUGUUGAAUUUGAAGCAAUUAACAUUUGGCUGUCACGUUGUGUUCAAAAUUUGGUGAACUUGUGAAUUCAAUCAACAAAUGCGUAUUGGCUUGAACGUGAGAAUAAUGGUGU